CCUACGGGUGGCAGCAGUGGGGAAUAUUGCACAAUGGGCGAAAGCCUGAUGCAGCAACGCCGCGUGAAGGAAGAAGGGUUUCGGCUCGUAAACUUCUGUCAACAGGGACGAAAGAAAUGACGGUACCUGAAUAAUGAGCCCCGGCUAACUACGUGCCAGCAGCCGCUGUAAUACGUAGGGAGCCAUCGUUAUCCGGAAUUAAUGGGUGUAAAGGGUGAGUAGGCGGCAUGGUAAGCCAGAUGUGAAAGCCUUGGGCUUAAACCGAGGAUUGCAUUUGGAACUAUCACGCUAGAGUACAGGAGAGGAAAGCGGAAUUCGUAGUGUAGCAGUGAAAUGCGUAGAUAUUAGGAAGAACACCAGUGGCGAAGGCGGCUUUCUGGACUGAAACUGACGCUGAGGCACGAAAGCGUGGGGAGCGAACAGGAUUAGAUACCCGGGUAGUC
Molecule: ribosomal RNA, 443 nt
Filed under: uncultured bacterium
Lineage: Bacteria
Description: partial 16S ribosomal RNA
Rfam family: Bacterial small subunit ribosomal RNA
Source: RNAcentral